Molecule: ribosomal RNA, 1304 nt
Filed under: Stenotrophomonas maltophilia
Lineage: Bacteria; Pseudomonadati; Pseudomonadota; Gammaproteobacteria; Lysobacterales; Lysobacteraceae
Description: partial 23S ribosomal RNA
Rfam family: Bacterial large subunit ribosomal RNA
Source: RNAcentral
CUUCCAGGAAAAGCUCCUAAGCUUCAGCUUACGCAGACCGUACCGUAAACCGACACAGGUGGGUAGGAUGAGAAUUCUCAGGCGCUUGAGAGAACUCGGGUGAAGGAACUAGGCAACAUGGCACCGUAACUUCGGGAGAAGGUGCACCCUUUUUGGUGGCUCGUGCGAGCUAUAGCUGAAGAGGGUCGCAGUAACCAGGCCGCUGCGACUGUUUAUCAAAAACACAGCACUCUGCAAACACGAAAGUGGACGUAUAGGGUGUGACGCCUGCCCGGUGCUGGAAGGUUAAUUGAUGGGGUCAGCCGCAAGGCGAAGCUCUUGAUCGAAGCCCCAGUAAACGGCGGCCGUAACUAUAACGGUCCUAAGGUAGCGAAAUUCCUUGUCGGGUAAGUUCCGACCUGCACGAAUGGCGUAACGACAGCGGCGCUGUCUCCACCCGAGACUCAGUGAAAUUGAAAUCGCUGUGAAGAUGCAGCGUUCCCGUGGCAAGACGGAAAGACCCCGUGAACCUUUACUAUAGCUUUACACUGAACGUUGAGUUCGUCUGUGUAGGAUAGGUGGGAGGCUAUGAAACUGUGGCGCUAGCUGCAGUGGAGCCAUCCUUGAAAUACCACCCUGUCGUGCUUGACGUUCUAACCUGGGCCCAUUAUCUGGGUCGGGGACCGUGUAUGGUGGGUAGUUUGACUGGGGCGGUCUCCUCCUAAAGAGUAACGGAGGAGCUCGAAGGUACGCUCAGCGCGGUCGGACAUCGCGCACUGUGUGCAAAGGCAUAAGCGUGCUUGACUGCAAGAUCGACGGAUCAAGCAGGUAGGAAACUAGGACUUAGUGAUCCGGUGGUUCUGUAUGGAAGGGCCAUCGCUCAACGGAUAAAAGGUACUCCGGGGAUAACAGGCUGAUACCGCCCAAGAGUUCAUAUCGACGGCGGUGUUUGGCACCUCGAUGUCGGCUCAUCACAUCCUGGGGCUGUAGUCGGUCCCAAGGGUAUGGCUGUUCGCCAUUUAAAGUGGUACGCGAGCUGGGUUCAGAACGUCGUGAGACAGUUCGGUCCCUAUCUGCCAUGGGCGUUGGAGAUUUGAGAGGGGCUGCUCCUAGUACGAGAGGACCGGAGUGGACGAACCUCUGGUGUUCCGGUUGUCACGCCAGUGGCAUUGCCGGGUAGCUAUGUUCGGAAGCGAUAACCGCUGAAAGCAUCUAAGCGGGAAGCGCGCCUCAAGAUGAGAUCUCCCGGGGCACAAGCCCCCUGAAGGAACCAUGUAGACUACGUGGUUGAUAGGUCAGGUGUGUAAGUACAGCAAUGUAUUGAG